AUUGAACGCUGGCGGCAUGCCUUUACACAUGCAAGUCGAACGGUAACAGGUCUUCGGAUGCUGACGAGUGGCGAACGGGUGAGUAAUAUAUCGGAACGUGCCCAGUCGUGGGGGAUAACGCAGCGAAAGCUGUGCUAAUACCGCAUACGAUCUAUGGAUGAAAGCGGGGGAUCGCAAGACCUCGCGCGAUUGGAGCGGCCGAUAUCAGAUUAGCUAGUUGGUGGGGUAAAAGCUCACCAAGGCGACGAUCUGUAGCUGGUCUGAGAGGACGACCAGCCACACUGGAACUGAGACACGGUCCAGACUCCUACGGGAGGCAGCAGUGGGGAAUUUUGGACAAUGGGCGCAAGCCUGAUCCAGCAAUGCCGCGUGCAGGAUGAAGGCCUUCGGGUUGUAACUGCUUUUGUUACGGAACGAAACGGUGAGCUCUAUAAAGCUUGCUAAUGACGGUACCGUAAGGAAUAAGCACCGGCUAACUACGUACG
Molecule: ribosomal RNA, 485 nt
Filed under: uncultured bacterium
Lineage: Bacteria
Description: bacterial SSU rRNA
Rfam family: Bacterial small subunit ribosomal RNA
Source: RNAcentral